This 125-nucleotide non-coding RNA is filed under the name Pycnococcus provasolii. The record is from RNAcentral. Lineage: Eukaryota; Viridiplantae; Chlorophyta; Pseudoscourfieldiophyceae; Pseudoscourfieldiales; Pycnococcaceae.
UGGAGGCCGCGGACCACUCACGCCUCAUCGCAGCAACAACAGCAGCUUGAACAUCAACAAGAACAACUUUGCCACGCCGCGUUCAGCGCCUCCUCAGCAACGCCACCGAACGGCAGCCAACCCCU